CAGACUUGGUGCAGAUCUACAGAUUCAGCUACACAAAAAUCCCUGAACUCAUCCCUCAAGCAAGGCUGCAGAUAAAUGAAUAAGACCGAAACAUUUGUCCUGGACUUUUGAGGUUGGAUCACACGCACAGGUGAAACAAAGCCCAGAACAAACAGACGUCUUCCGAAAGCCCUGUCCCUUGCAGCUCAAAGCCAGAGACUUCGAAAACUGCUCAUCUAUCUGCUGGUAAUGGCUUCUAACAAGAAGUGAAGAGGGCCACGUAUCGGAUUUGAGCAAUGUGGGGUUUCUAAUUCAAGACAUUUACAGCGGGGCAGAAAGCCUGAGUGGCAUCUUUACGGAGUGGUUACAACAGUCAUCUCGCUGUCAAAAAAAGAGAAAAAACACACAGAAAAAGCUAAUGGGAAGCCAUCCUGGGCCCUGCAUGAUUUAAGGGGUGCUCUUCUAGAGUGACUCUGCUUCGAAUACCUUCAGGCACAACAACACUGAAGUCGUGAAUGGAUUUACAUAGAGAACAGAGGCAGCAGAGAGAAACAGGUAGUCAAAAAUAGUUCUUAAAUGGGCCUCCUGGACUCCGAGGACCUGAUCUCCGUCAGUACCUCUGGACCCUGUGACAACAGGCAACCCCAGCAAGCACUCCCUAAUCACAGCCUUCCCAGCGGCUGCACGCACGCUGUUUUAACUCUUCCCUUUCCUACUCGCUUGGAGUGUUAUUUCACCUUUGUCCAUUAGCAAAUGGACCUUGCUGGUACUGUCAUAUUAGGCCUAUCUUUCUUAUCGACGCAAAUUACAGACCAGAAAAUUCAGGACCAACUUGAAAAAUCCAGAGGACACACGUGGAAGCUGCUUACAUGAUGCAAGAGAAGAGGAAGGAGAUAUUCAUUCAUUUACUGUAUAUGGAAAACAAGAAAGAGAAGUGAACUGAAAGGUGGUUUCUAAAGAGAAUGCUGAGAUAUUCAGAAUCACAUCACAGCACUAUCUCCAGUUUGGGAAUUAUGGCUUGCUUUUUCCACCUGAAAAGCUCAACACGAUCCUCAAGCUGAUGCUUGAUGAGGACAAUAACAAAAUAUUAUAUAAAAUGGUUUGAGGAUCUCUUCAGCAUCCAGCACAAUUUUAACAAUGAAGGGUCUUUCUUAUAUGACUUAUCUAACAGUACGGAUUUUGAUGUGUUCUUCUAGUGUUUUGCAUUCAUAAGAAUACCUUGUUGGGCUACACUUCCAUUUAUCAGAUUCAUAAGAUCUAGCUCACCUGAAAUCAGGAAAGAAAAAGCAACACAGAUUUUAUUGGUACAGCCUGUCUCUGGGCUGUACCAAUUAGUAGACAAGAAACACAUUUUUAAUUGCCUCACGGCUGGUGGUUGACUCCAGAGUCUAGGAUGCCUAUUGGGAUUAGGACCAAAAGCCAAGAAAGCCAGUAGAUGCAACUGAGUUCAACCAAAAGAAUGAAAUGAGUGCAGAGUUUCAGAAAAAGGUGAAUUCACUGAGAACUAAGUACAACUAGAAAAUUGGGAGAGAGAAGCUCACUACUCUGUUCUUCUGAGUAAACAAAAAAGAUGUUUUGUUUUUCCCAAAGAGCCUACUCACUUCUGCAUAGUCUGCAUUCUUCAGCAAGUGAAGAUGAAAUCUUAAGAUGUUCUCGUAAAAAACAGAUGAGAUGAAGCGUGCACAUGAAAGCCCCCCUGGACAGGCUCAGGGUACAUCUAACCCAGCAGCUGCCUGGGAUCCCAACUCCUUGGCUCUGGAUGGAUCUAAGGCUGCCAAAGAGUUUAGCUUCCCAGCGAAAUGGGAAGCCCUCCCUGUCUCAGCUGGCUGCUUCAGAGAAAGGACUAUAGGAGCACCGAGUCCCUGGCUCUGGAGCAAUCCACAAGGCUUUCAGGCACAGUCGGAUUACACAGAAGUUCAUCAAACCCAACCUGCUUCAGAUAAAGCACAUCAGGCCCAGCAACCAAAGCUGGAACAAAUUAAUGCCUUAAAUUAAAUUUUGCUCCUCACUACUUCUGCAUUUUCAGGACCUCCAAUGUGUUGACUCUGCCACCCUGGGAGAUUUCUGAAUCUUCACAUCUAUAUGCCUUCUCUACAGCUUGCUCUCUGAGCAUUUGAAAACCCAUGAAGCCGAUGGUAUUGCACCCUCUGAGGCAACUGAGUCCCAGCCAUCUGCUCUUCUCCAGGCCUGAAUUUAGCCCAGAGGUUGCAAUUUUUUUAGCACACCACAUUCCAGUCAGUUACCAUGGCAACUCACAAGUCAGCCUGUCAGACACUGAUCCUAGUUACAGCUCCACUUCUGUCGGGAUACAGCUAAAUCACUAAUGGACUAAUUUCUAUAAUCAAAAAAUAUGUUUUACGGUCUUUUUUUUUUUAAAUCUAAGAUGAAUAAAGAGCUCAAGGUUUUCAUUCAGAAAUGCUAUUUCCGUAUCAAUCACAUUUGUAUUAAUCUUUUUACAUAUACUAUAUUGAGAAAGAGCCCUUAAGAGCACUUGUUUUUGUCACUGUAUAGAUCAUCAACUGGUGCAUCUAUGCAGCAAUGAUGCCACUAGUCUUUUCCCAAGAAAUACGUUCACCCCAUUGCCUCAAGAGAAGAUUUAAAAUUGCCAGAGCA
Long non-coding RNA from Struthio camelus australis, 2592 nucleotides. RefSeq lists it as uncharacterized. The record is from RefSeq and is a predicted model, not a curated record. NCBI's taxonomy places the organism in Eukaryota, Metazoa, Chordata, Aves, Struthioniformes, Struthionidae.